UACAGAGGCCCCAAGCGUUACUGAGAAUCACUGGGUUUAAAGGGUGCGUAGGUGGUCCGUUAAGUCUGUUGUGAAAGCCCUUGGCUCAACCAAGGAAUUGCUUCGGAUACUGGCGGACUUGAGGCUAGUAGAGGUCACUGGAACUGACGGUGGAGCGGUGAAAUGCGUAGAUAUCGUCAGGAACGCCGGUGGUGAAGACGGGUGACUGGGCUAGUUCUGACACUGAGGCACGAAAGCGUGGGGAGCGAACGGGAUUAGAUACCCCGGUAGUCCACGCCCUAAACGAUGCAGACUAGACUGCAGCGGGUUACACCCCGUUGCGGUCGGAGCGAAAUUGUUAAGUCUGCCACCUGGGAAGUACGGUCGCAAGGCUAAA
This 376-nucleotide ribosomal RNA is filed under the name uncultured bacterium. RNAcentral describes it as "bacterial SSU rRNA". It matches the Rfam family "Bacterial small subunit ribosomal RNA", at positions 524 to 898 of the family's 1533-position model. The record is from RNAcentral.